CGGGGAUUGUACACACCGCCCGUCAAGUCACGAAAGCUGGCAACACCCGAAGUCAGUGGCCCAACCAUUUGGAGGGAGCUGCCGAAGGUGGGGUUGGUAAUUGGACU
This 107-nucleotide ribosomal RNA is filed under the name uncultured bacterium. RNAcentral's name for it is "partial 16S ribosomal RNA". It matches the Rfam family "Bacterial small subunit ribosomal RNA", at positions 1375 to 1482 of the family's 1533-position model. The record is from RNAcentral.